CAACAUCCUUCCUCUAUUAUGGUUUACCAGCAGAUUACAAAAAUCUAAAGCUCUUACUACUGAGUAAACUCUAAAAAUAAUCUAGAAAAGAACUGGAAGAAAAUAUAAUAUUAAUGUAGUCAUUCAUUUUGGGAUUUUGGCCUUUUAUUUUUCUCCUGACUUUCUCUAUUUUCACUUUUUUAAAUGUGCGCAAUAUGUUAAUUUCAAAGAUAAUUUAAAAUGUACAGUUUUAUUAAUCACAACAACUGGAUGUGAAGCAUUUUCCCAAUUCUGAAAAACUGCUUGAUAAUGUAAGCCAAUUCAGAAAACAUAUCUGAGUCAGUCAUUCAGCAAUUUUUAGAGUAAAAAACUGUAUACAUAUCCAAAAUUUAGCCUGCUUUGGUCAAAGAAGUUGACAUAAAAUGUUGCUUACAGUAGUGCUUAGCAUUUAAGAGUUUCCCAUCUGUGAGAUCACUGUCAGCCCUGUGUUAUGGGGGAGGCAGGUGGGCAUGGCGACUGAUCCAGUGUCAGAAAACCAGUCACUGGCAGAGGCGUGACCUCGUCCGCUGCCCUUUCCACUUCUCACGUCUUGAGGAGCUCGUGCUUUCUUCUGCAGGCUCCUAGGUGCACAUUUGGACAUGUGCAGACUGUCAGACAGCCACAUGAGCAUCACAGGCCGCACAGAAGUUUCCCUGCUCAAGGCAGCUGGUGCCCAUGGACAGAAUCUUGACGGAUGCAACUCAUAAAAAAUGUGGAGUUUUGUUUGGAAUUUAUGUGAAAGAAGGAACUAAAGUAAUAUCAAGGAAGCCAAAACCAAAC
RNAcentral lists this long non-coding RNA (798 nucleotides) under Fukomys damarensis (Damara mole-rat). RNAcentral's name for it is "lncRNA (ENSFDAG00000030006.1)". Lineage: Eukaryota; Metazoa; Chordata; Mammalia; Rodentia; Bathyergidae. The record is from RNAcentral.